RNAcentral lists this long non-coding RNA (453 nucleotides) under Homo sapiens (human). RNAcentral's name for it is "non-protein coding lnc-TAS2R5-1:1". The record is from RNAcentral. Lineage: Eukaryota; Metazoa; Chordata; Mammalia; Primates; Hominidae.
GUGUGUGACUUCACUGAGGACCAGACCACAGAAUUCAAGGAGGUUUUCUAGCUGUUUGACUGAACAGGUGAUGGUAAGAUCCUGUAUAGUCAGUGUGGGGAUGUGAUGAGGGUCCUGGGUCAGAACCCCACCGAUGCUGAGGUGAUGCAAGUCCUGGAGAUCCCCAAAAGUGAUGAGAUGAAUGUGACGGUGCUGGACUUUGGGCACUUCCUGCCCAUGUUGCAGGCUGUGGCCAAGAACAGGGACCAGAGCCUAUGAGGAUUAUGUUGAAGGACUUUGGGUAUUUGACAAGAAGGGGAAUGGCACCAUCAUGGGCACUGAAAUCUAGCAAGUCCUUGUCACACUGGGUGAGAAGAUGAUAGAAGAAGAAGUAAAGAUGCUAGUGCAGGGCAUAAGGACAGCAAUGGUUGCAUCAACUGUGAAGAGCUUGUCCAUGGGGUGCCAAAUGGCUAA